GCGGGACUGCCCGGCACGAGCUGCAUGAAUAUCCCUGAGGCUAUAAGCAAUCCACGGGAGCUGUCCCUAUCCUGGUCUGCGGGUUCGUCCUGGAGGUUGGGAUAUACGGCGCCCACCUGACGUUGAGGCGUCAGAGGAUUUCGCCGGCAAACGACCCAUGGUGGUUCCGCC
RNAcentral lists this small RNA (171 nucleotides) under Qipengyuania soli. RNAcentral describes it as "6S / SsrS RNA". It matches the Rfam family "6S / SsrS RNA". Rfam says of the family: E. coli 6S RNA was the first non coding RNA to be sequenced, but its function was unknown until recently. The record is from Rfam by way of RNAcentral. Lineage: Bacteria; Pseudomonadati; Pseudomonadota; Alphaproteobacteria; Sphingomonadales; Erythrobacteraceae.